GCGUGAGUAGUUCAGCGGUAGAACGCCUCGUUGCCAAUGCGAAAGAACCAAGGUUCUGUCUUUCCUUUUAGAGAAGAUAGAAAAGCAAAGACGAGGUAACCCGAGUUCGAAUCUCGGCUCGCGCA
Molecule: transfer RNA, 125 nt
Filed under: Candidatus Daviesbacteria bacterium
Lineage: Bacteria; Candidatus Daviesiibacteriota
Description: tRNA-OTHER
Rfam family: tRNA
About the family: Transfer RNA (tRNA) molecules are approximately 80 nucleotides in length. Their secondary structure includes four short double-helical elements and three loops (D, anti-codon, and T loops).
Source: RNAcentral